Molecule: long non-coding RNA, 881 nt
Filed under: Marmota monax (woodchuck)
Lineage: Eukaryota; Metazoa; Chordata; Mammalia; Rodentia; Sciuridae
Source: RNAcentral
GUGGGCGGCUGCGGAGAGCGGCCGGGGCGCGUGCACUGUGCUGGGCUGCUGGGCCCGGGAGGGGGGCGUGUCUGAGGGGCCCCAGAGAAAGGGAUGGGGGGGCCGGGACCCGCACCCGGACGCUUCUUCAGGGUCCGGUCACAACCUAGGAACAUGCGGCACGCACCCGGGAUCGGUGACCACUGCGGAAACCCACCCGCACCUGCCUCUCCCCCCUCCCCGCACGUCCUCUUGCUUCGUUUGAUACGUAAGUGACUAGAAACUAGCACCAACCCAAGUCUCCUCAGUAGUUUUUCCCGAAUGUGCCAGUGGAGAUGUUUCCCCAAAGAGAGAUUUCCCCAGGACUGCCAUCUAAUGAAUAAAUGCUGCUGCGGAGGUCAGGUCCUCAAAAGGAGGAAAUAGCCCAGCGAUGGCUGGAAAGAAGAGUUUGAAAUACAUGGACUUUUAAAAAUAGUGAAUGGACCACGUGUCGCCCUGAAUGUGGUGGGUUUCAUGACUCGGGCUAAUCGAUGUCAAUAAUAAAUUGAAAGAAGAAGAAGAAAAUGGCAAACAAGAGAGUCGUUGAUAUCUAGAUCGGAUAAAAGUGUCUUAUAAACAAUCACACUGUCUGAUAGAAGGGACCUGUUCUAUAGGAAAGAACGGUGGUGGUUGUUGUUGUUGUUGUUGUUUUAUUGGUUGUUCAAAACGGUUGUUGUUUUUUUAAAAAAAGUACUCUCGAAUUGUAAAAGAUUUCCGCAUCACACUAUAUAGCCCAUCAUUCAUAAAUCAUCUUUUAAAUUAAGAGCUAGAAAAUAGAUCAAAAGCUAUCAUUUUUCUUCUGUAUUUAUUUUCUAGAUCAGUUUUCCCCUUAAAAAAUUUUAGCUCAAUUCAGUGAGUCCCUU